GAUGAACGCUGGCGGCGUGCCUAAUACAUGCAAGUCGAGCGAACGGGCGAGAAGCUUCCUUCUCUGAUGUUAGCGGCACGCGUGUGUAUAACGCGUGGAUCACCUCCCUAUAAGACGGGGAAAACUUCGGGAAACCAGAGAUAAUCCCGGAUAAUAUUUUGAACCGCAUGGUUCACAAGUGAAAGACGGUCUUGCUGUCACUUAUAGAUCGAUCCGCGCUGCAUUAGCUAGUUGGUAAGGUAACGGCUUACCAAGGCAACGAUGCAUCCCCGACCUGAGAGGGUGAUCGCCCACACUGGAACGGGAACACGGUCCAGACUCCUACGGGAGGCAGCAGUAGGGAAUCUUCCGCAAUGGGCGAAAGCCUGACGGAGCAACGCCGCGUGAGUGAUGAAGGUCUUCGGAUCGUAAACCUCUGUUAUUAGGGAAGAACAUAUGUGUAAGUAACUGUGCACAUCUUGACGGUACCUAAUCAGAAAGCCACGGCUAACUACGUG
Molecule: ribosomal RNA, 497 nt
Filed under: uncultured bacterium
Lineage: Bacteria
Description: partial 16S ribosomal RNA
Rfam family: Bacterial small subunit ribosomal RNA
Source: RNAcentral